GCUGGCUCCUCCCGGUGAGAUGGGUGCUAUGACAGAUUAGACUUUUAUGCAAGAAAAUCAGUCCUGCGCAGUUGAUAUACUGCUUUAAACUUAAAGACCCCUUGGGACCUGAAACUGUAAGAUUUUCCUGGCUUUUGUUGACCUUUUACUCUUCCAUAAAAUUGCAAAUCAGCUUGUCCAGUUCUUCAGAAAAUCCUGAAUUCUAUAAACCUGAAGAGUAAUCUUUUAGAAAAAUCAUCAGAAGGAGGGAAUUUGUGGAAAUAAAACUGGAAACAUUCAGAAUCUUGAUGGUGUGCCAAACCAAAUGUCAACUGGAGCUCGGCCAAAGACUCAAUCACACCUCAUGGCUCACAGGAUCUUAGUUCCUCGAACAAGGACUGAACCUGUGCCCUCGGCAGUGGAAGCACAGAAUUCUAACCAGUGGGAAAUUCCCUGUAUCAUUUUUGGUGAUACAUGUCAAACUAGACUUAAAAUAUUCUACAUUUCCUUAGAGAGUUGUGGGGGAAGUGUCGAUUUAAGAGAGUCAGGAAAUAUUGAUCCUUGGGAAACUUGUUUGCCAGAAAAAUUUAAAAAUUGUCUUACUUUGAUUUAAAAUGUUUUGUUCCUUAGCAAUAAUUUUUAAAUUUAUUUUUAAUUGGAGGAUAAUUGCUUUUCAUUGCUUUGUUAGUUUCUGCCAUACAACAAUGUGAAUCAGCAAUAAGUAUACUUAUGUCCCCUCCCUCUUGAUCAUCCCUCCCACCUCCCACCCCAUUCUACCCUACUAGGUUGCCUUAAGAAUAAUUUUAAGGGAUAUUAACAUUUGGGUAUUAUUUUUGUAAGUAUGCAAAACCAUAAAUAAUUUUUCUGGUUUGUAAUAAUUUUGUCCUACUGUGUAUGAAAUUGCAUCUUUAUGUAAUGACUGUGGCUUUUGUAAAAAACAUUUGUGAAUUAAUUCAGUAUGAAUUUUUAGAUUUUUAUUUAAUUACAAAGGGAAUUUUUCUUUUUUUUUUUUUUUAGAAAUAGAGAAACCCCAGGUUUGGAUUCCAGCUAUAAUACAAUUUGCCAACUAACUGAUGUUGAAUUUUUAACUUGGCUUCUCUAUUCAUGGAAAACUGGGGACAUUUUGUACGAAAAGUACA
Cervus elaphus (red deer) is the source of this 1118-nucleotide long non-coding RNA. RefSeq lists it as uncharacterized. The record is from RefSeq and is a predicted model, not a curated record. Lineage: Eukaryota; Metazoa; Chordata; Mammalia; Artiodactyla; Cervidae. The transcript is spliced from 4 exons.